CCUACGGGAGGCAGCAGUGAGGAAUAUUGGUCAAUGGCCGGAAGGCUGAACCAGCCAUGCCGCGUGAAGGUCAGUGCCCUAUGGGCGUUAAACUUCUUUUGUGCGGGAGCAAUAAUGGUCACGUGUGGCCAGACGAGAGUACCGUACGAAUAAGCAUCGGCUAACUCCGUGCCAGCAGCCGCGGUAAUUCGGGGGAUGCAAGCGUUAUCCGGGUUUAUUGGGUUUAAAGGGUGCGUAGGCUGGGAGGUAAGUCAGCGGGGAAAUGCCCCCGCUCAACGGGGUGAAGUGCCAUUGAUACUGGCUGGCUGGAAGGCGGAUGAGGUGGGAGGAAUGUGUGGUGUAGCGGUGAAAUGCAUAGAUAUCACACAGAACGCCGAUUGCGAAGGCAUCUCACGAAUCCGCGAUUGACGCUGAUGCACGAAAGCGUGGGUAUCAAACAGGAUUAGAUACCUGGGUAGUC
RNAcentral lists this ribosomal RNA (460 nucleotides) under uncultured bacterium. Its description in RNAcentral is "partial 16S ribosomal RNA". It matches the Rfam family "Bacterial small subunit ribosomal RNA", at positions 338 to 795 of the family's 1533-position model. The record is from RNAcentral.